UAUGGCCAUACCACCCUGAAUGUGUCUGAUCUCAUCUGAUCUUGUAAGCUAAGCAGCAUUGGGCCUGGUUAGUACUUGGAUGGGAGACUUUAGCUUUUCUAAUUAGACAUGAAGCACUAUUAUAU
Molecule: ribosomal RNA, 125 nt
Filed under: Prolemur simus (greater bamboo lemur)
Lineage: Eukaryota; Metazoa; Chordata; Mammalia; Primates; Lemuridae
Source: RNAcentral